GACGAACGCUGGCGGCGUGCCUAAUACAUGCCAGUCGAACGCUGAAGGAAGGAGCUUGCUCUUUCUGGAUGAGUUGCGAACGGGUGAGUAACGCGUAGGUAACCUGCCUGGUAGCGGGGGAUAACUAUUGGAAACGAUAGCUAAUACCGCAUAAAAUUGAUUAUUGCAUGAUAGUCAAUUAAAAGGUGCAACUGCACCACUACCAGAUGGACCUGCGUCGUAUUUGCUAGUUGGUGGGGUAACGGCUCACCAAGGCGACGAUACAUAGCCCGACUGAGGAGGUGGUCAGCCACACUGGGACUGAGACACGGCCCAGGCGCCUUCGGGGUGCAACAGGAAGGAAUCUUCGGCAAUGGGCGGAAGUCUGGCCGGGCGACGCCGCGGGGGGGAAGAAGGUUUUCGGGUCGGAAAGCUCUGUUGUAAGGGAAGAACGAGUGUGGGAGUGGAAAGUUCACACUGUGACGGUAUCUUAUCAGAAAGGGACGGCUAACUACGUG
This 497-nucleotide ribosomal RNA is filed under the name uncultured bacterium. RNAcentral describes it as "partial 16S ribosomal RNA". It matches the Rfam family "Bacterial small subunit ribosomal RNA", at positions 28 to 507 of the family's 1533-position model. The record is from RNAcentral.